Molecule: non-coding RNA, 107 nt
Filed under: Lacticaseibacillus manihotivorans DSM 13343 = JCM 12514
Lineage: Bacteria; Bacillati; Bacillota; Bacilli; Lactobacillales; Lactobacillaceae
Description: Lactobacillus manihotivorans DSM 13343 = JCM 12514 Enterococcus sRNA 68 (Lacto-3 RNA)
Rfam family: Enterococcus sRNA 68 (Lacto-3 RNA)
About the family: Name 'Ref' stands for RNA in E. faecalis.
Source: Rfam by way of RNAcentral
UGCGAUGAGUCGAGUAACCACGCACUAUGUGGUGAAAGUUGCAGCUGGCAGGCAUGAAUCACCACCCGACGGAUUUCGGGGCCAGUGGAUAAGCGGUUGUGGAGCCA